AUUGAACGCUGGCGGUAUGCUUUACACAUGCAAGUCGAACGGUAACAGGGUGCUUGCACCGCUGACGAGUGGCGAACGGGUGAGUAAUGCGUCGGAACGUGCCGAGUAGUGGGGGAUAACGCAGCGAAAGUUGUGCUAAUACCGCAUACGAUCUAAGGAUGAAAGCGGGGGAUCGCAAGACCUCGCGCGAUUGGAGGGGCCGAUAUCAGAUUAGGUAGUUGGCGGGGUAAAGGCGCAACAAGCCAACGAUCUGAAGCUGGUCUAAGAGGACGACCAGCCACACUGGAACUGGGACACGGUCCAGACUCCUACGGGAGGCAGCAGUGGGGAAUUUUGGACAAUGGAAGCAAGUCUGAUCCAUCCAUUCCGCGUGCAGGAUGAAGGCCCUCGGGUUGUAAACUGCUUUUGUACGGAACGAAAAGGUCUCUCUUAAUACGGGGGGCUCAUGACGGUACCGUAAGAAUAAGCACCGGCUAACUACGUGCCAGCAGCCGCGGUAA
This 500-nucleotide ribosomal RNA is filed under the name uncultured bacterium. Its description in RNAcentral is "partial 16S ribosomal RNA". It matches the Rfam family "Bacterial small subunit ribosomal RNA", at positions 30 to 523 of the family's 1533-position model. The record is from RNAcentral.